GACGAACGCUGGCGGCGUGCUUAACACAUGCAAGUCGAACGGAAAGGCCCUGCUUUUGUGGGGUGCUCGAGUGGCGAACGGGUGAGUAACACGUGAGUAACCUGCCCUUGACUUUGGGAUAACUUCAGGAAACUGGGGCUAAUACCGGAUAGGAGCUCCUGCUGCAUGGUGGGGGUUGGAAAGUUUCGGCGGUUGGGGCUGGACUCGCGGCUUAUCAGCUUGUUGGUGGGGUAGUGGCUUACCAAGGCUUUGACGGGUAGCCGGCCUGAGAGGGUGACCGGCCACAUUGGGACUGAGAUACGGCCCAGACUCCUACGGGAGGCAGCAGUGGGGAAUAUUGCACAAUGGGCGGAAGCCUGAUGCAGCAACGCCGCGUGCGGGAUGACGGCCUUCGGGGUGUAAACCGCUUUCGCCUGUGACGAAGCGUGAGUGACGGUAAUGGGUAAAGAAGCACCGGCUAACUACGUG
This 468-nucleotide ribosomal RNA is filed under the name uncultured bacterium. RNAcentral describes it as "partial 16S ribosomal RNA". It matches the Rfam family "Bacterial small subunit ribosomal RNA", at positions 28 to 507 of the family's 1533-position model. The record is from RNAcentral.